Molecule: long non-coding RNA, 438 nt
Organism: Heterocephalus glaber (naked mole-rat)
Lineage: Eukaryota; Metazoa; Chordata; Mammalia; Rodentia; Bathyergidae
Source: Ensembl
GUGUUGCUAACCUGGCUGCCCUUUUGCUCUGCUCAUGAAUGCUUUCUGCUGCACUGGAAGCUCUUCGUUUGUUGAUCUCUCACUGCUGGGUCUUCUUUUUCCUCAACCCAACUGCUUUAUUUUUACUCAUGACAUGGAAAAGUUCCUCCUGUAUCUUUCUUGCAGCUCACCUUUUGGAAACAGAUUGACAUGGAUUGGUGGCCUUUGCUUCCUGUUCCUGAAGAGUGACUUAUGCUUGUGCUAAGAAUGAGGUGCCAAGGACAGCAACCGAAUGGCUUCAGAAUCAGGCUCCCACUCUUUUGGCCAUGGCAACAGGAGAGAAGGAUUCACAGGAACGAUCUGAACCUCAGAUAGCCUUUGGAGUGAUGGGAUGGAACCCAGAACCUCCUGCAUGCUAGGCAAGUGCUGGACCAGUGAGAUACAUCCCCAGUCUGCUGG